UCCGGUUGAUCCUGCCAGAGGUUACUGCUAUCGGUGUUCGCCUAAGCCAUGCGAGUCAUAUGUUCUUCGUGAACAUGGCGUACUGCUCAGUAACACGUGGAUAACCUGCCCUUGGGUCCGGCAUAACCCCGGGAAACUGGGGAUAAUUCCGGAUAACGCACAUAUGCUGGAAUGCUUUAUGCGUAAAAUGGAUUCGUCUGCCCAAGGAUGGGUCUGCGGCCUAUCAGGUAGUAGUGGGUGUAAUGUACCUACUAGCCUACAACGGGUACGGGUUGUGAGAGCAAGAGCCCGGAGAUGGAUUCUGAGACAUGAAUCCAGGCCCUACGGGGCGCAGCAGGCGCGAAAACUUUACAAUGCGGGAAACCGUGAUAAGGGGACACCGAGUGCUAGCAUCAUAUGCUGGCUGUCCAGGUGUGUAAAAUACACCUGUUAGCAAGGGCCGGGCAAGACCGGUGCCAGCCGCCGCGGUAACACCGGCGGCCCGAGUGGUGAUCGUGAUUAUUGGGUCUAAAGGGUCCGUAGCCGGUUUGGUCAGUCCUCCGGGAAAUCUGACAGCUCAACUGUUAGGCUUUCGGGGGAUACUGCCAGACUUGGAACCGGGAGAGGUAAGAGGUACUACAGGGGUAGGAGUGAAAUC
Molecule: ribosomal RNA, 637 nt
Filed under: unidentified archaeon
Lineage: Archaea
Description: bacterial SSU rRNA
Rfam family: Archaeal small subunit ribosomal RNA
Source: RNAcentral